AGAGAGAGAAUAUAUGGGAGGGAAAAAAGGAACAUCCAAAUUCUAAAUACAAGACAAAAAAGAAAAAAUACGAAAUGCGACCAACAACUGGAGGACAUAGUAAAAAAACAGAUGUUGCAGGUGUUCGGGGUGUAAAAAGUGCCUAAGGGAGGGAGAGAGCCCGAUACAAGGGAGGGAGGAAGAGAGGUGGACGGAAGUGAGUCUUACCACCAAGGGCCGGCGUCGACAAGAAGGUUCCUGUAGUUGGAGUGAUGGCUGGGGAGACAAGUGGGCGGCGUCACCUGGGGCACUCCCUCACCUGCCAGCAUGUCAGCAGGUGCAGCGCGCCACACACCGCCGCCACUCACAGCGCCACACACACUGCCCAGCCGCCUCUGGCACCCUCCCGCCUCCCGACAAUGGCACACCCAACACCUUCAGCAGGGGUUACCUUACCUGCCAGGACACAAGGAGGCUGCCUGGACCAUUUGGGAUAACAGUUACAUUCUCAGGGCUGUGGUCAGGUGGCAGGCCAGGUGAUGCACACUCAGUUG
This is a long non-coding RNA of Portunus trituberculatus (swimming crab), 533 nucleotides long. RefSeq lists it as uncharacterized. Lineage: Eukaryota; Metazoa; Arthropoda; Malacostraca; Decapoda; Portunidae. The transcript has 3 exons. The record is from RefSeq and is a predicted model, not a curated record.